GUGCUGUUGAAGAGUCCCACAAUAGGAUGAAACGACCGUCCAGUGC
Molecule: non-coding RNA, 46 nt
Filed under: Schistosoma haematobium
Lineage: Eukaryota; Metazoa; Platyhelminthes; Trematoda; Strigeidida; Schistosomatidae
Source: RNAcentral